AUACGGAGGGUGCGAGCGUUAAUCGGAAUUACUGGGCGUAAAGGGUGCGUAGGCGGCUUGAUAAGUCGGAUGUGAAAGCCCUGGGCUCAACCUGGGAACUGCAUUCGAUGCUGUCAGACUAGAAUAUGGUAGAGGGUAGUGGAAUUCCUGGUGUAGCGGUGAAAUGCGUAGAUAUCAGGAGGAACAUCAGUGGCGAAGGCGGCUACCUGGACCAAUAUUGACGCUGAGGUGCGAAAGCGUGGGGAGCAAACAGGAUUAGAUACCCUAGUAGUCC
This 274-nucleotide ribosomal RNA is filed under the name uncultured bacterium. RNAcentral describes it as "partial 16S ribosomal RNA". It matches the Rfam family "Bacterial small subunit ribosomal RNA", at positions 523 to 796 of the family's 1533-position model. The record is from RNAcentral.